Molecule: ribosomal RNA, 799 nt
Filed under: uncultured Rhizophagus
Lineage: Eukaryota; Fungi; Glomeromycota; Glomeromycetes; Glomerales; Glomeraceae
Description: SSU rRNA
Rfam family: Eukaryotic small subunit ribosomal RNA
Source: RNAcentral
AUCAACUUUCGAUGGUAGGAUAGAGGCCUACCAUGGUGGUAACGGGUAACGGGGUGUUAGGGCACGACACCGGAGAGGGAGCCUGAGAAACGGCUACCACAUCCAAGGAUGGCAGCAGGCGCGCAAAUUACCCAAUCCCGACACGGGGAGGUAGUGACAAUAAAUAACAAUACGGGGUUCUUUAGGAUCUCGUAAUUGGAAUGAGUACAAUUUAAAUCUCUUAACGAGGAACAAUUGGAGGGCAAGUCUGGUGCCAGCAGCCGCGGUAAUUCCAGCUCCAAUAGCGUAUAUUAAAGUUGUUGCAGUUAAAAAGCUCGUAGUUGAAUUUCGGGGUUAGUAGGUUGGUCAUGCCUCUGGUAUGUGCUGGUCUCACUGAUCCCUCCUUCCUGAUGAACCGUAAUGCCAUUAAUUUGGUGUUUCGGGGAAUUUGGACUGUUACUUUGAAAAAAUUAGAGUGUUUAAAGCAAGCUAACGCUUGAAUACAUUAGCAUGGAAUAAUGAAAUAGGACGUUCGAUCCUAUUUUGUUGGUUUCUAGGAUUGACGUAAUGAUUAAUAGGGAUAGUUGGGGGCAUUAGUAUUCAAUUGUCAGAGGUGAAAUUCUUGGAUUUAUUGAAGACUAACUACUGCGAAAGCAUUUGCCAAGGAUGUUUUCAUUAAUCAAGAACGAAAGUUAGGGGAUCGAAGACGAUCAGAUACCGUCGUAGUCUUAACCAUAAAUUAUGCCGACUAGGGAUCGGAUGAUGUUAAUCUUUUAAUGACUCAUUCGGCGCCUUACGGGAAACCAAAGUGUUUGGGUUC